RNAcentral lists this ribosomal RNA (253 nucleotides) under uncultured bacterium. Its description in RNAcentral is "partial 16S ribosomal RNA". It matches the Rfam family "Bacterial small subunit ribosomal RNA", at positions 524 to 776 of the family's 1533-position model. The record is from RNAcentral.
GACGUAGGGUGCAAGCGUUGUCCGGAAUUAUUGGGCGUAAAGAGUUCGUAGGCGGUUGCCUAAGUCUGAUGUUAAAGCCCGGGGCUCAACCCCGGCAUGGCACCGGAAACUGGGCGGCUAGAGUGCGGUAGAGGUCACGGGAAUUCCAGGUGUAGCGGUGAAAUGCGUAGAUAUCUGGAGGAACACCGGUGGCGAAAGCGCGUGACUGGGCCGUAACUGACGCUGAGGAACGAAAGCCAGGGGAGCGAAAGGG